Molecule: non-coding RNA, 19 nt
Filed under: Mus musculus (house mouse)
Lineage: Eukaryota; Metazoa; Chordata; Mammalia; Rodentia; Muridae
Source: RNAcentral
UGCCAUCGAUCUCAUAGGG